GGACAACCUACCCUUUAGGACCGGGAUAACCCCGGGAAACUGGGGACAAUCCCGGAUAGGUGAAGUGGCCUGGAAUGGUACUUCACUGAAAGGCUCUUCGGAGCGCCUAAGGAUGGGUCUGCGGCCGAUUAGGUAGUUGGUAGGGUAACGGCCUACCAAGCCGAUAAUCGGUACGGGUUGUGAGAGCAAGAGCCCGGAGAUGGAACCUGAGACAAGGUUCCAGGCCCUACGGGGCGCAGCAGGCGUGAAACCUCCGCAAUGCACGCAAGUGCGACGGGGGGACCCCAAGUGCCACUCUUAACGGGGUGGCUUUUCAGGAGUGUAAAAAGCUCCUGGAAUAAGGGCUGGGCAAGACCGGUGCCAGCCGCCGCGGUAACACCGGCAGCUCGAGUGGUAGCCGCGUUUAUUGGGCCUAAAGCGUCCGUAGCCGGUCCGAUAAGUCUCUGGUGAAAGCCCACAGCUCAACUGUGGGAAUCGCUGGAGAUACUAUCGGACUUGAGGCCGGGAGAGGCUGGAGGUACUCCCAGGGUAGGGGUGAAAUCCUAUAAUCCUGGAAGGACCACCUGUGGCGAAGGCGUCCAGCUGGAACGGACCUGACGGUGAGGGACGAAAGCCAGGGGCGCGAACCGGAUUAGAUACCCGGGUAGUCCUGGCCGUAAACGAUGCGGACUUGGUGUUGGGAUGGCUUUGAGCUGUCCCAGUGCCGAAGGGAAGCUGUU
Molecule: ribosomal RNA, 719 nt
Filed under: uncultured Methanothermobacter sp.
Lineage: Archaea; Methanobacteriati; Methanobacteriota; Methanobacteria; Methanobacteriales; Methanobacteriaceae
Description: bacterial SSU rRNA
Rfam family: Archaeal small subunit ribosomal RNA
Source: RNAcentral